This is a non-coding RNA of Phalacrocorax carbo (great cormorant), 470 nucleotides long. The record is from RefSeq and is a predicted model, not a curated record. NCBI's taxonomy places the organism in Eukaryota, Metazoa, Chordata, Aves, Suliformes, Phalacrocoracidae.
CCUGUAACUCCCUGGAGCCACAGGCAUUUCACCACUGUCCUUGCUGGAAUAUUAGAAAGCCUGAAGCUGAAUGGUAUUGAAAAAUCCCACUGCUUUCCUCCCCAAAACUGAAUUGCCAUUUGGAUCAGAAAAAAAGCAAACUGAUACAGACCACCACGUGUACCACAGGCUGGAACGCCGUGCAGGUAAAAAACCAGCUCCAGUGGCCCAGAAGUUGAAACAGGCCCGCCCUAUCUUAGCAGCUGGGCUCUUCGCCAUCAUGGAUCGCAACAGUUGGGAACCGAACAGGGGGAACGAGAGUGAAGCAAGCCUGCUGUUCUGUGACAGACUACACCUAAGCCAUUUUGCCUACUUUUUUCUGUAACAUUCCCUGUGUUUCCCUACUGCAAAACUGCCUGGUGGGAAGCCACGUGGUACUGUAACUGGAGUAAUUUAAAAAUGAGACAUCUCCAUUAGAGACGCAACAGCCC